GAUGAACGCUGGCGGCGUGCCUAAUACAUGCAAGUCGAACGAGUUCUUGUUGAUGAUCGGUGCUUGCACCAAGAUUCAACAUGGAACGAGUGGCGGACGGGUGAGUAACACGUGGGUAACCUGCCCUUAAGUGGGGGAUAACAUUUGGAAACAGAUGCUAAUACCGCAUAGAUCCAAGAACCGCAUGGUUCUUGGCUGAAAGAUGGCGUAAGCUAUCGCUUUUGGAUGGACCCGCGGCGUAUUAGCUAGUUGGUGAGGUAAUGGCUCACCAAGGCGAUGAUACGUAGCCGAACUGAGAGGUUGAUCGGCCACAUUGGGACUGAGACACGGCCCAAACUCCUACGGGAGGCAGCAGUAGGGAAUCUUCCACAAUGGACGCAAGUCUGAUGGAGCAACGCCGCGUGAGUGAAGAAGGCUUUCGGGUCGUAAAACUCUGUUGUUGGAGAAGAAUGGUCGGCAGAGUAACUGUUGUCGGCGUGACGGUAUCCAACCAGAAAGCCACGGCUAACUACGUGCCAGCAGCCGCGGUAAUACGUAGGUGGCAAGCGUUAUCCGGAUUUAUUGGGCGUAAAGCGAGCGCAGGCGGUUUUUUAAGUCUGAUGUGAAAGCCCUCGGCUUAACCGAGGAAGCGCAUCAGAAACUGGGAAACUUGAGUGCAGAAGAGGACAGUGGAACUCCAUGUGUAGCGGUGAAAUGCGUAGAUAUAUGGAAGAACACCAGUGGCGAAGGCGACUGUCUGGUCUGUAACUGACGCUGAGGCUCGAAAGCAUGGGUAGCGAACAGGAUUAGAUACCCUGGUAGUCCAUGCCGUAAACGAUGAAUGCUAGGUGUUGGAGGGUUUCCGCCCUUCAGUGCCGCAGCUAACGCAUUAAGCAUUCCGCCUGGGGAGUACGACCGCAAGGUUGAAACUCAAAGGAAUUGACGGGGGCCCGCACAAGCGGUGGAGCAUGUGGUUUAAUUCGAAGCAACGCGAAGAACCUUACCAGGUCUUGACAUCUUUUGAUCACCUGAGAGAUCAGGUUUCCCCUUCGGGGGCAAAAUGACAGGUGGUGCAUGGUUGUCGUCAGCUCGUGUCGUGAGAUGUUGGGUUAAGUCCCGUAACGAGCGCAACCCUUAUGACUAGUUGCCAGCAUUUAGUUGGGCACUCUAGUAAGACUGCCGGUGACAAACCGGAGGAAGGUGGGGAUGACGUCAAAUCAUCAUGCCCCUUAUGACCUGGGCUACACACGUGCUACAAUGGAUGGUACAACGAGUUGCGAGACCGCGAGGUCAAGCUAAUCUCUUAAAGCCAUUCUCAGUUCGGACUGUAGGCUGCAACUCGCCUACACGAAGUCGGAAUCGCUAGUAAUCGCGGAUCAGCACGCCGCGGUGAAUACGUUCCCGGGCCUUGUACACACCGCCCGUCACACCAUGAGAGUUUGUAACACCCGAAGCCGGUGGCGUAACCCUUUUAGGGAGCGAGCCGUCUAAGGUGGGACAAAUGAUUAGGGUG
This 1492-nucleotide ribosomal RNA is filed under the name Lacticaseibacillus paracasei. RNAcentral's name for it is "bacterial SSU rRNA". It matches the Rfam family "Bacterial small subunit ribosomal RNA". The record is from RNAcentral. Lineage: Bacteria; Bacillati; Bacillota; Bacilli; Lactobacillales; Lactobacillaceae.